RNAcentral lists this long non-coding RNA (425 nucleotides) under Homo sapiens (human). Its description in RNAcentral is "non-protein coding MEF2C-AS1:38". The record is from RNAcentral. Lineage: Eukaryota; Metazoa; Chordata; Mammalia; Primates; Hominidae.
GCUCUCAUCACCUAUAUACUCUUCUCUCUGCCCGUCUCUGCUUCCCCCCCCUUCCCCCCCCCCUUUUCUCCCGGCCGACGGAGCUGAAGGGGCGGGGGUUCCUUCCUUGGAGUGUUUCUAGAGCUCGGAGGCUGCUGGUAGGGGGGCACCACUUUCAGAUAAAAACAUAGACCUGAAUGGCAUCAUCCAGUAUCCAAGGAAACCAUUGUGUCUGUAACCAGCUAAUGAGCUGCAACAGAGCCUGGCCUUCAUUUUCAGCAAAUUAAGUUCAUCCCUCAUAGGAAUUGUGGUCUGGCUGUGGCACCGCUCCUAGACAUGACAAACUCCAAAAGGAAACCCAAGCAGCUAUUUGGCUCCCUUAAUUAAUGAAGUCGCCCAGUAUGGAUAAUUCAGGUUCUCUAAACAUGAAUAUGCCUUUGGGGGAA